RNAcentral lists this ribosomal RNA (325 nucleotides) under Lasiodiplodia theobromae. RNAcentral describes it as "partial large subunit ribosomal RNA". It matches the Rfam family "Eukaryotic large subunit ribosomal RNA", at positions 276 to 606 of the family's 3401-position model. The record is from RNAcentral. Lineage: Eukaryota; Fungi; Ascomycota; Dothideomycetes; Botryosphaeriales; Botryosphaeriaceae.
GGGAAUGCAGCUCUAAAUGGGAGGUAAAUUUCUUCUAAAGCUAAAUACCGGCCAGAGACCGAUAGCGCACAAGUAGAGUGAUCGAAAGAUGAAAAGCACUUUGGAAAGAGAGUUAAAAAGUACGUGAAAUUGUUGAAAGGGAAGCGCUUGCAGCCAGACUUGUCCGCAGUUGCUCAGCCGGUCUCCUGACCGGUGUACUCUUCUGCGGCCAGGCCAGCAUCAGUUCGGGCGGUCGGAUAAAGACCUCGGGAAUGUAGCUCCUCUCGGGGAGUGUUAUAGCCCGGGGUGGAAUGCGGCCAGCCUGGACUGAGGAUCUCGCUUCGGC